UACGUAGGUGGCGAGCGUUAUUCGGAUUUACUGGGCGUAAAGGGUUCGUAGGGGGUCAUAUAAGCUCGGUGUGAAAUCCACAGGCUCAACCUGUGAACUGCACUGAGAACUGUAUGACUGGAGUUCUGGAGAGGUAAGUGGAAUUUGUGGUGUAGCGGUGGAAUGCGUAGAUAUCACAAGGAACAUCGAUGGCGAAGGCAGCUUACUGGACAGAUACUGACCCUGAGGAACGAAAGCUAGGGUAGCGAAAAGG
This 253-nucleotide ribosomal RNA is filed under the name uncultured bacterium. RNAcentral's name for it is "partial 16S ribosomal RNA". It matches the Rfam family "Bacterial small subunit ribosomal RNA", at positions 524 to 776 of the family's 1533-position model. The record is from RNAcentral.